This 416-nucleotide long non-coding RNA is filed under the name Capsicum annuum. RNAcentral describes it as "long non-coding RNA (CANN_LNC012614)". The record is from RNAcentral. Lineage: Eukaryota; Viridiplantae; Streptophyta; Magnoliopsida; Solanales; Solanaceae.
UUAUCUUCAGAGACAAAGUUUGUCUCAACGUCAUUAUCUGUUUUCUUAAAGGACGCCUGAUAGAGCUUCACUAGAUGCUUUGGCAUACCUUAGAUACGCAACCAGUGCCCCUUUCCUCCACAGCGAUAACAUUUAUUUUCAUUGUUCGUCCUUGGCACUGCUUCAGUAGCUUCACCCUUCUUUUUACACUUCUGGUGUUGAGGGUCAUUGUUUAGUACAAGAUGAUCACCCUGAUUAAACUAUCAACCACAACCACGACCUCAAAUGGGGCCAAGGCUUCUUUCACACCUGGUUUGAUGAAAAUGUGCGGCAUUCACUUCAGGGAAUGGAGCAAUACCGGAAGGUCGACUUUCAUGAUUUCUCAUUAAAAGAUCAUUAUGUUGUUCAACUACAAGAAGAUGAGAAAUCAAUUCAGA